This 279-nucleotide ribosomal RNA is filed under the name uncultured bacterium. Its description in RNAcentral is "partial 16S ribosomal RNA". It matches the Rfam family "Bacterial small subunit ribosomal RNA", at positions 506 to 784 of the family's 1533-position model. The record is from RNAcentral.
UGCCAGCAGCCGCGGUAAUACAGAGACUCCAAGCGUUAUUCGGAUUCACUGGGCGUAAAGGGUGCGCAGGCGGCCAGGUGUGUCAGAGGUGAAAUACUGCAGCUUAACUGUAGAACUGCCUUUGAAACUACCUGGCUAGAGUAUCGGAGAGGCAAGCGGAAUUCCAGGUGUAGCAGUGAAAUGCGUAGAUAUCUGGAGGAACACCAAUGGCGAAGGCAGCUUGCUGGACGAUUACUGACGCUCAGGCACGAAAGCAUGGGGAGCGAAAGGGAUUAGAUA